AUGUCAAGAAUGCCUACAAGUAGCCAUCACCUAGGUUCUCUUCCUAAUGGCAUGGUUUGUCGUCUUCGUCGCUGUCUAUAUGGCCCUAAGCAAACCCUUCGUGCCUGGUUUGAGCGCUUCGUCUCAGUGGUGAUUGCGGCUAGUUUUUGGCGAGUGGGCAUUAUCCUACACUUUCGAUCCACCGUUCGAGUGCACCUCUUCCCACGGCGUCAUCGCUCUACUUUCCUACUCUACCCUCCAUUAUAUGCUCUGCGGCAUUGUCGUCGUGGCCAGGAUGGUGGCAAAAUCACUAGCGUUGAUGCCUCUCGCAUGAUGUUGCUAGAGCAUUCAUCCUCUCAAGUGGCACGAACGGCCGAAGGGGACAAUGCCACCAUGGAUUUUGGCAUUCCCUCUGUUGGAUCGUGA
Molecule: ribosomal RNA, 405 nt
Filed under: Triticum aestivum (bread wheat)
Lineage: Eukaryota; Viridiplantae; Streptophyta; Magnoliopsida; Poales; Poaceae
Description: partial small subunit ribosomal RNA
Source: RNAcentral